GAACUCUGGUAUUGAUUGGUGCUUGCAUCAUGAUUUACAUUUGAGUGAGUGGCGAACUGGUGAGUAACACGUGGGAAACCUGCCCAGAAGCGGGGGAUAACACCUGGAAACAGAUGCUAAUACCGCAUAACAACUUGGACCGCAUGGUCCGAGUUUGAAAGAUGGCUUCGGCUAUCACUUUUGGAUGGUCCCGCGGCGUAUUAGCUAGAUGGUGAGGUAACGGCUCACCAUGGCAAUGAUACGUAGCCGACCUGAGAGGGUAAUCGGCCACAUUGGGACUGAGACACGGCCCAAACUCCUACGGGAGGCAGCAGUAGGGAAUCUUCCACAAUGGACGAAAGUCUGAUGGAGCAACGCCGCGUGAGUGAAGAAGGGUUUCGGCUCGUAAAACUCUGUUGUUAAAGAAGAACAUAUCUGAGAGUAACUGUUCAGGUAUUGACGGUAUUUAACCAGAAAGCCACGGCUAACUACGUGCCAGCAGCCGCGGUAAUACGUAGGUGGCAAGCGUUGUCCGGAUUUAUUGGGCGUAAAGCGAGCGCAGGCGGUUUUUUAAGUCUGAUGUGAAAGCCUUCGGCUCAACCGAAGAAGUGCAUCGGAAACUGGGAAACUUGAGUGCAGAAGAGGACAGUGGAACUCCCAUGUGUAGCGGUGAAAUGCGUAGAUAUAUGGAAGAACACCAGUGGCGAACGCGGCUGUCUGGUCUGUAACUGACGCUGAGGCUCGAAAGUAUGGGUAGCAAACAGGAUUAGAUACCCUGGUAGUCCAUACCGUAAACGAUGAAUGCUAAGUGUUGGAGGGUUUCCGCCCUUCAGUGCUGCAGCUAACGCAUUAAGCAUUCCGCCUGGGGAGUACGGCCGCAAGGCUGAAACUCAAAGGAAUUGACGGGGGCCCGCACAAGCGGUGGAGCAUGUGGUUUAAUUCGAAGCUACGCGAAGAACCUUACCAGGUCUUGACAUACUAUGCAAAUCUAAGAGAUUAGACGUUCCCUUCGGGGACAUGGAUACAGGUGGUGCAUGGUUGUCGUCAGCUCGUGUCGUGAGAUGUUGGGUUAAGUCCCGCAACGAGCGCAACCCUUAUUAUCAGUUGCCAGCAUUAAGUUGGGCACUCUGGUGAGACUGCCGGUGACAAACCGGAGGAAGGUGGGGAUGACGUCAAAUCAUCAUGCCCCUUAUGACCUGGGCUACACACGUGCUACAAUGGAUGGUACAACGAGUUGCGAACUCGCGAGAGUAAGCUAAUCUCUUAAAGCCAUUCUCAGUUCGGAUUGUAGGCUGCAACUCGCCUACAUGAAGUCGGAAUCGCUAGUAAUCGCGGAUCAGCAUGCCGCGGUGAAUACGUUCCCGGGCCUUGUACACACCGCCCGUCACACCAUGAGAGUUUGUAACACCCAAAGUCGGUGGGGUAACCUUUUAGGAACCAGCCGCCUAAGG
RNAcentral lists this ribosomal RNA (1430 nucleotides) under Lactiplantibacillus plantarum. RNAcentral describes it as "bacterial SSU rRNA". It matches the Rfam family "Bacterial small subunit ribosomal RNA". Lineage: Bacteria; Bacillati; Bacillota; Bacilli; Lactobacillales; Lactobacillaceae. The record is from RNAcentral.